AUGAACGCUAGCUACAGGCUUAACACAUGCAAGUCGAGGGGAAACGAUGAGAGAGCUUGCUCUCUUAGGCGUCGACCGGCGCACGGGUGAGUAACGCGUAUCCAACCUACCCAUUACAGGGGGAUAACCUUGCGAAAGUAAGACUAAUACCCCAUGGCAUUUUAUGGUGGCAUCAUUAUAGGAUUAAAGAUUUAUUGGUAAUGGAUGGGGAUGCGUCUGAUUAGCUUGUUGGCGGGGUAACGGCCCACCAAGGCAACGAUCAGUAGGGGUUCUGAGAGGAAGGUCCCCCACAUUGGAACUGAGACACGGUCCAAACUCCUACGGGAGGCAGCAGUGAGGAAUAUUGGUCAAUGGGCGAGAGCUUGAACCAGCCAAGUAGCGUGCAGGAUGACGGCCCUAUGGGUUGUAAACUGCUUUUAUAGGGGAAUAAAGUGAGCUACGUGUAGUUUAUUGCAUGUACCCUAUGAAUAAGGACCGGCUAAUUCCGUG
RNAcentral lists this ribosomal RNA (489 nucleotides) under uncultured bacterium. RNAcentral describes it as "partial 16S ribosomal RNA". It matches the Rfam family "Bacterial small subunit ribosomal RNA", at positions 29 to 507 of the family's 1533-position model. The record is from RNAcentral.